CUUGGCCCCCUCCUCGGCCGUGGCUCCAAGAUGGCGGCUCCGAGACGGAUCACGUGAGCGGCGGGCAGGUCAGGGUCUCUCUUGUUCCACUGAUGUUCCAGGUUGUCUGGUCCAUGAGCUUCCAGGUAAUUCUCGUUUCCAAUUCCCACUUGCCUUAGGAGGGCUGGGGUUAUGAUGCGUUGUAUCUCUUUUUUCGUGGGUUCUGGGGACAUUUGUGUUUGCGGCGGACGGAGGUGAGUGAGGUUGUAUUUUGUGUUGGCGCCUUUUCCCCUGUUGUGACCAGGAUAGGUACGAGGCUAAGGCUGAGGUUGGCUCACAGUUUCCAAGGUUUGAGUCCAUAGUAACUUGGUCACAUUUUCUUAAGCAGUGUAUUGUGGUGGUGGGGACACUGGGUGAAUAGCUCAUCUUAGAGUGGAGAAGAAGCAGAGAGAGAAAAGGAUGCAGGAGAGGACCAGGGGAAGAGACAGCCAUAAGAAUACGCCUACACUGACCUACAUCCUGAACUCAGCCCCACCUCCUGCCCCCUACCACCUCCACUGUAUUAGAAGCCCACCGCUGGACAAUCCAUUGCUGUAGGUCAGAGCCCUCAUGGUCCAGCUGUCUCUGGAAAUGGCAUCAUAGCGUCACCCAGAUCAAGCUGCAACCAUGGUUAACUAUCACAGAUGACUUUGUUUCUAAAUUCUUAUCCAUUGGAGCUCAUUUGCUCUGGACUAGAAUCCUGCUUACUAGCGAAUAAAGUAAUUCCAAAUGAUAGUUUAAAGAAAAAAAAAAAAAGAGUUCAAAGAGAAGCACAGGCAUGGCUGGACAGCACCUCCCCCAGAAGAUGCGAGUUAUUGGGUGAACUAUGGCACGAGGGCAGGGACACCUCCACAGGAGGCACUGGUCUGGGAGGCCCCAGAGGUCUCCAAGACAACCAGGCUCUUACCAUUGUUCUUAGCUACCCAAUGCAACUCCCCUUUUGCUGGAUUCAAAAUGUCAAGACAACAGCCUAAUUGGAAUCUUUUUUUUCCCUCCCUUUCUCUUUCUUUCUGUCCUUCCUAUCCCAUCCCCAUCCCUCUCUCCCCCCCCUUUCCUUCCCUCCCUUCCCUUGUAUUCUGGUAGGGUCUUAUGUUAGCCAGGCUGGCCUUAAAUUGUGAUCCUCCUUCCUCAGCCUCUUGACACAUCAUCAGAAUCAUGGGAGUGCAUCAUCAUGCCCACCUCUGAACUCACUGUCUUUAUCCUCACCACCAACAUCACUUUCUUUUUUUCUUUAAGAGAAGCAAAAUCCCAUGCGGGGUUCUGGCUGCCCACCCAGAAGUCUUACCCACCAGGUUAACAGGCUGAAGAGUUUGAUGCAAAACAAAUUGCCAAGCUGGCAGCGAACAGUGUGAAAUCCAACUGGCUGGAAACUGUGUCUCAUUAGACAGAGGCCAUGCGCACAGCAAACCCAAAGCACUUGGAACUAGUCAGUGUGAUUCCUUUGCAGGAGGCAAAGACGUGCUAUUCACUGUUAGGCAGCCAGUCGCUUCUACUAAUCUGUUUGCAGUUUCUCUCUCUCAACGCUCCUGCCUUCUCAAGAAAUCUUAUCCCUUCCUAGCGCCUUCAGUUUGCUUUGGCCCACUCACAUCCAGCACACACAGUGAGGUCCUCACCAAGAGACACUCUUGUCCUCAUCUGCUUAGCUUCAAGACCCAUGGGGUUGAGUUUGAGUUUGGAUCCCCAGCCCAACAGUUAGGUUGAGACCUUAUCUAACCUUUGCAGAUGAGAGGAGGGGGAAAAUUGUUUUGGCAGCAAAAGAGCCUGCCUUUGCUUGAGUCUUCACGAAAUGGAUGUUUACAUUUAUGCUAACAUUUCUUUCUAACCUCUGCUUGGCAUUUGUUCUGCUGAAGAAGUAGGUUAAAAAAUUCAUAUGCAAACAAAAUCCAAAAUAUUUUUUCGUGUUGUAGAGUCAAGUGUUAACCACCCACUCACUUCUCAUGUGAGUUAGCUUCUUGACUUCUAAAAACAAAACAGCAGAACAAACAGAAAUACCUAAGAAUGGUAAAAAAAAAAAGGGGGGGGGUGGGAAGGGCUUAUUUAUUUUCCUUCCAUCUAUGUGAGUAUUUUUUGUGUGUGCAUGUAUGUGUACCACAGGCAUGCAGUGCCUAAGGAGGCCAGAAGAGGGCGUCAGAUCCUGCAGUUAUACAUAGCCUUGGGCUGCCAUGUGGGGUGCUGGAAAUUGAACCUGGAUCCUCUGCCAGAGUAGCCAGUGCACUUAACCUUUGAGCCAUUCCCUCCAGACCCUAAAAAAGGGUUUAUUGUUAACCUUCACGCUCAUCACUCAUCUCCACCAAGUUGUGCACGAUCUCCCCCAAACACCACAAACUCCUGAUUUCUUUUUUUCACACCCAUUUUAGAUGCUGCCUCUUCCCAGGUUUGUACCCCAUCAUCCAGAGCCCUAGCCUUGCCAGUACUUCCUAAGAAUUCAAUCCUGUUCUCGUCCUCCUCGCAUUUCCAACUUUCUUUUCUUUCUUUCUGAGUGCUGGGGAUUAAAGGAAUGAACCAAGUAAGAAGUAAGAUUUAUUAAUUAUUUUUGUCUCAUGUGUCUGAGCGUUUUGUCGGCAUGGACGUGGUACACGGAUGAUUGCUGCCUGUGGAGGCCAGAGAAGGCGCUGGAUUCCCUGGAACUGCAAUUGGGGAAGACUGCAAGCCGCCUGAUGUGGGUGCUUGGUACCCCCAACCCCAGCCCUCUGCAAAAGAGCAGGAAGUGCUCUGAACUUCCGAGUCAGCCCUCCAGUCCACACUUACAAGUUUUUGUAGUCCUGUUACCUGCCGUCUCCUGACUGAGCCUCUGCCCACUUGGAAGUUGUUGCCUGUGCAGCCCUCCCUCCUCCCCUGUGCGCGGCUUCAUUUUUCCACAGCCUUGGAAUUGUGUAUCUUGCUGCUCUGUCACAGAAGUCAUUCCACACAAAGCCAUCUGUGAUUGUCCCCCAAUAUCCGAGGCACAGUGGUGUCCAAUUUUAAUAUCUCGCUCUCGUGCGCAGAGGCGAUCUGUUCCUAGAUGACAGUGAAUCAGUGGAGAGAUAUGGCAAGGGCGCCGGAGGGGUCUCAGCCUCCCGGAUGGCCCCUGCAACAUCAGAAGCGGCCUCUGCUGGGAAAUUACCAUGCUUAUUUUUGGAGGACUGGUUCUGCCUUGACGCUGUGUGUCCCAGUAGCUACAGAAAGCAAUGCAGGAAGGGCAAAUCGGGUGGGAACAUGAGCCCUGGAAGAGCCAGCCCCAUGCGGCAGUGCAACCCAUAGACAGUCUAUGGCUUUGUACCUCAUGAGGGCAUCUGAAAGCCGGGGGAGUGUUUCUUCAUCGCAGAAGAUGCAUUCAUUAUUGCGUAAGAAGACUGUCACAAACACGCGACUGCUGAUUCCAUCAUGGCACCUUGCUGUGUGUCACUGUCCCUGGGGAAGAUGAGAAUGAACAUCUACUCCUCCCAAAUAGAGAACGAUGAUGACAGACCAAAGUUAGGACACCGCCAGAGUCUGACUAGCUAGGUGGCCACAAUGAGCUCUAGUGGGGUUACUUACAGGAGCAGAAAUGAUUCACAGACAGCAGCAUCACCGACCCCGCCCCAGUGUGGGUGACACACAGCUCGCAGAGCUGGGAACCUGGAGCUCACUGCACAGCCUGCAGGGAGCUUGAUAGGUUGGAGAGCUUCCUCGUCGCUCUGAACCUCUUCCGGUGGCUCGGCUGGCGGGAGAGUCCUUACUGCUUACGUGUGCCUGGGGAGGGAGGUGCUUACUGUAUCUGGUCAGUUUCAGGGACUUCCUGAAGCCUUUGAGUUGUUUUCUUCCUGAGUUUACGGAACUCCCCACGCAGGACUGAGUGUUCCACCACUCCCCCACCUAGAACACUCUCAGUCUUAAUGAGCUUCCUUCUAAGAUGGAAUGUUUUAUCUGGGAGGAAAAUGCUGCACAGCGCACCAGCCGGGGACAGGAGACCAGAAACACCAACCCCCUGGACAGACAAACUUGGAUGUAAAUCAGCUUCCUUCCCCAGACUCCCAAGGCCUGAGAGAUUUUUAUGACCUAAUGACUAGAAAGGGGAGGUGGAGAUUGUUCUGCCAGAUAAAAACCAAACUGGGGAAUGGCUUCAAGGAACUCAGGGAUGGAGAAAACUAAAAUAAUGAAAACCAAUAGUGCGUCGGAAGUGAUCUUACAGUUCAAUCUGAGCAGGGCGCUGUGCGCGGAAUGGGUGAGAAAUUUCAUCGUACUGUGGCAGCAAGCACACUUUAUGGCAAUGCAUGCUGCCUUGCUAAUCACUGCCGCCUCACACUGAGUCGUGCGGAACACCAACACACAGUUCAAGCCCUAGAGUCCUAGGGCUGGAACAGCGUGGACUCUGCUGGGAAGGAAGUUCACUGGCACCUCAAGAACUCAGCUGCAGAGCUGGGGCUGCACACGAGUCAUCUCUGCCCUUCUCCUCUGCCUCCUGGCUCCGAGCGUCCUGUGUGUGUUUGGCUCACAUGACAUGCUCUCCGACGGUCCUAAAGUCCUUCCCCACAAAACCUUAAUGGUUGCUGUGAUGGCAA
Long non-coding RNA from Psammomys obesus (fat sand rat), 4538 nucleotides. RefSeq lists it as uncharacterized. The transcript has 3 exons. NCBI's taxonomy places the organism in Eukaryota, Metazoa, Chordata, Mammalia, Rodentia, Muridae. The record is from RefSeq and is a predicted model, not a curated record.